ACACGUUUGAGUCUGACUGAGUGAGGACUCGAGCCCAGGUCUCAAGUGCUGACGUCCACUUUCAUUUCUGCCUUUCUGGCUGUGGCCACAGAGGAAGACUGUUUCACCAGAGCGUGGCCUGCCUGGAGCUGGGCUCUGACCACAAGGAGACUGAGGGUCUGAGAAAAGAGUGAAGAACCUCUUCGUUUUCUCCACCCUUCUCCCACCAAAAAUAGGGGGCUCCUUGCAGGCCCAGGAGGAGAUUCAGAAGACCAUCAUCAGUGGCAUCAAGUAAAGGGAUUUUGAAAACACAUCAGCCUACGUUGGACUUCACAGUCUGCCUUAGAGGCUGUGUGAUCUUGGGCAAGUCACAUUACCUCUCUGAACCUCAGCUUCCUCGUCUAACAUAUGGAACCCUCUUGCAGGGUUUUGUAAAGCUGAGAUUAGACUUGUGAAUACAUCUGACAUCUAUGUGGUGCUUGAACUUUGAACUGUGCGCUGCCCACUUACCUGCCCCCACUGCCCGGGAUGGUUGGAGGUGAAGUUGUAAGGCCCUACACCUGCCCCUGACAGCCUCCCGCAAUAAUGUUUCUCUGGGAAGUUGGGAGAGGAGCCAUCUGCCCUCUGGACAGAGGUCACCGUUGUGCAGAGAGACAACCAGUGCUGCCCAAGAAGUAUUGCCCCACCCUCUGGGCCGUUUGGCACCACUCGGACAAAUGUAUCCUGGCCUUCGGAACCGAUUAGUCCUGGAAGAGUCUCUCUACAUUCCCUGCUUCUGCUUCCCUGGGGGGCCGUUUUUACUGGGGUGGGUGGGCACGUCCA
Suricata suricatta (meerkat) is the source of this 801-nucleotide long non-coding RNA. RefSeq lists it as uncharacterized. The record is from RefSeq and is a predicted model, not a curated record. Lineage: Eukaryota; Metazoa; Chordata; Mammalia; Carnivora; Herpestidae. The transcript is spliced from 3 exons.